AGGGCAUUUACGGAAAAUCACGUAUAAUAAAAUGCUAUCAAACUUUUAAACUACCUAACUUUUUUAUUUUAGCAAUUGACCAUAAAAGAUAACGUGGAAAGAAAAGGAAAGGAUGGGGGUUGGUCUUUAAGAUACAGUUUUAUAAUCGAAUUCUAGUGUCGUUUCGUUUCUACUUUGUAUUAUAAAUACAUUUACCAAUUAAUCCAUCCAAGUUAUUAAGCUUCGGCUGAGUGCUGCAGAAAUUAAUCGAUCAAGUAGAAGAAGGAUGCCUGGCAAGUCGUUUGCUGAGCAUUGUAAUGAAAAGAAUCCACAGAUGCCCGAUGAACCAUGGGAUCGUAAUGCACCCAUGCCGCCUGGUCGCUGGCAAUUGUGCUAAGUUGGUCAAACAGGGGACUUUCGCCGGUAUGCAAUGGAUCAAAGACAAGUAUCAGAAACCCACCCAAAAACGCUGAUUCUUAUAGUAUGUCAUCUUUUAAUUGGAUUUUCCUUGUAUCGUCUUAAAAGUCAACACCAUCGAUUUUAUGGGUUUAUUCCAUGGUUUCUUGUAUCAUGAUCCAAUUGUUUGUUGUACUUGUAUGUAUUAAAGAUAAAAAUAAAGUUAUUGUUUAUGUCGGA
Molecule: long non-coding RNA, 615 nt
Organism: Lactuca sativa (garden lettuce)
Lineage: Eukaryota; Viridiplantae; Streptophyta; Magnoliopsida; Asterales; Asteraceae
Source: RefSeq, a predicted model, not a curated record